GAUGAACGCUGGCGGCGUGCCUAAUACAUGCAAGUCGAGCGAACAGAUGAGGAGCUUGCUCCUCUGACGUUAGCGGCGGACGGGUGAGUAACACGUGGAUAACCUACCUAUAAGACUGGGAUAACUUCGGGAAACCGGAGCUAAUACCGGAUAAUAUAUUGAACCGCAUGGUUCAAUAGUGAAAGACGGUUUUGCUGUCACUUAUAGAUGGAUCCGCGCCGCAUUAGCUAGUUGGUAAGGUAACGGCUUACCAAGGCAACGAUGCGUAGCCGACCUGAGAGGGUGAUCGGCCACACUGGAACUGAGACACGGUCCAGACUCCUACGGGAGGCAGCAAUAGGGAAUCUUCCGCAAUGGGCGAAAGCCUGACGGAGCAACGCCGCGUGAGUGAUGAAGGUCUUCGGAUCGUAAAACUCUGUUAUUAGGGAAGAACAAAUGUGUAAGUAACUAUGCACGUCUUGACGGUACCUAAUUAGAAAGCCACGGCUAACUACGU
Molecule: ribosomal RNA, 496 nt
Filed under: uncultured bacterium
Lineage: Bacteria
Description: partial 16S ribosomal RNA
Rfam family: Bacterial small subunit ribosomal RNA
Source: RNAcentral